This 253-nucleotide ribosomal RNA is filed under the name uncultured bacterium. RNAcentral describes it as "partial 16S ribosomal RNA". It matches the Rfam family "Bacterial small subunit ribosomal RNA", at positions 524 to 776 of the family's 1533-position model. The record is from RNAcentral.
UACGUAGGGGGCAAGCGUUGUCCGGAAUCAUUGGGCGUAAAGAGCGUGUAGGCGGUCCGGUAAGUCCGCUGUGAAAGUCGGGGGCUCAACCCUCGAAUGCCGGUGGAUACUGUCGGGCUAGAGUGCGGCAGAGGAGACUGGAAUUCCUGGUGUAGCAGUGAAAUGCGUAGAUAUCAGGAGGAAUACCGAUGGCGAAGGCAGGUCUCUGGGCUGACACUGACGCUCAUGCACGAAAGCGUGGGGAGCAAACAGG